RNAcentral lists this long non-coding RNA (760 nucleotides) under Prunus persica (peach). Its description in RNAcentral is "long non-coding RNA (PPER_LNC008133)". The record is from RNAcentral. Lineage: Eukaryota; Viridiplantae; Streptophyta; Magnoliopsida; Rosales; Rosaceae.
AUCGCUUUCUUGAGAGGGUUUAAAGUGUUUCUAUUUCUCAUCUCUACUUAUUUUCUUCAAUUCACUCUAAAUGAUCUCAUCAUUCCAUUUUGAUUGAAUACUAAGGAUGAUUCUCUUUUGUAGAUAUCAUGUGCUUGCUCCCACUCAUGAAUGAACUCAUUGAAGUGAUGCUAGGCUGUGUGUGUAUAACCACUCUAUGUGCUUCCUCUUCACCCUACCUAUAUGUGUGUUCCAUCAACUCUCUUGCAGCCAAACACUUCAAGCCUUUUUCUUCUAUCACCCUCAUAAUUCCCCUACCUUUGUAUCUCAAUCUGAGAUAUUUAACCUAUUGUAAUCAUACCUAUAGCUUAGAAAUACACCAAGAUGUGCGAAGAUAAAGUUUGAAGGAAGGAAGUUGCUGCCAUGUACCUAAAUGAAAAUUGGUGUGAAUAUGUGUAAUGAUGUUAAAGAAGAAGCAGAUCAAAUCAGCAAAUAAGAAAGAUAAAAGAGAAAGUGUUUUGAUCUGAUCUAAGUGUGACGAGUAAGGUUGAUGCUAGGUGAUACAAUGAAGUUUGUAGCCUGCCAUUCAAAAUCAAUGAUACCUUGCAAAUCAAUGAAGAAUGCAACCUUGGUAUGUUCUUAAGUUACUAGUUUUCCUUCCAAUUCUUCCAUUUCCCUUAACCUUAGCCUCUCAUUACAACCUUGUGAAAGACCUAGCUAAUCUUUGAGGAUGUAUUAGUGGGUGCUAGUAUGUAUGUGUGUAUCUCUAUUCUUAGUAUUU